RNAcentral lists this unclassified non-coding RNA (378 nucleotides) under plant metagenome. RNAcentral's name for it is "partial contains 5.8S ribosomal RNA, internal transcribed spacer 2, and large subunit ribosomal RNA". The stretch from base 1 to 105 matches the Rfam family "5.8S ribosomal RNA", at positions 50 to 154 of the family's 154-position model. The record is from RNAcentral.
GAAAUGCGAUAAGUAAUGUGAAUUGCAGAAUUCAGUGAAUCAUCGAAUCUUUGAACGCACCUUGCGCUCCUUGGUAUUCCUUGGAGCAUACCUGUUUGAGUAUCAUGAAAUCUUCAAAGUAAAUCUUUUGUUAACUCAAUUGGUUUCUACUUUGGUAUUGGAGGUCUUUGCAGCUUCACACCUGCUCCUCUUUGUUCAUUAGCUGGAUCUCAGUGUUAUGCUUGGUUCCACUCGGCGUGAUAAGUUAUCUAUCGCUGAGGACACUGUAAAAGGUGGCCAAGGUAAAUGCAGAUGAACCGCUUCUAACAGUCCAUUGACUUGGACAAUACUUUUAUGAUCUGAUCUCAAAUCAGGUAGGACUACCCGCUGAACUUAAGC